GGGGUUCCAGCCCAGUGGUUAGGGCGUCAGACUCACGACUUGAAGGUCGGGGGUUCGAUUCCCGAUCCCA
Molecule: transfer RNA, 70 nt
Filed under: Macrostomum lignano
Lineage: Eukaryota; Metazoa; Platyhelminthes; Macrostomidae
Rfam family: tRNA
About the family: Transfer RNA (tRNA) molecules are approximately 80 nucleotides in length.
Source: Rfam by way of RNAcentral